This 518-nucleotide long non-coding RNA is filed under the name Bos taurus (domestic cattle). Its description in RNAcentral is "long non-coding RNA NONBTAT018171". Lineage: Eukaryota; Metazoa; Chordata; Mammalia; Artiodactyla; Bovidae. The record is from RNAcentral.
GCCAAUAUGUUGUACCAAUUUAUUCAGCCACCAACUGAUGACAAUUUAUGAUUUAAAUGUUAUCAAUGUAGUAGGGAAAAAUUCAAAGCUCAUCAGUCUUUCAGUUUACAUUAAGAACAUUUACAUUUAAGAACUAGGUAGAGAGGACUUCAAUCAUGAGUGGCUGCUUAUUAUAUUUCUGCUCUUUUUAGAAUCAACACAAAUAUUGAAGGAAAAGGAUUAUCAGUUACUAAUCAGGUGCCUCUUCCUUGUAGGGGCAGUGUACAAAGACCAAGGGCUUUGGGAUUCAAACCUACCUACUUAAAGAGCACCCCUCUCAGGCGGUGUUAGUUUUCAUUCAUUACCAAACAGGAACCAUUACAUUUCUAAGAGUAAAAGGAGGAUAGGUCUGAAAGGAGUUUGAUCAUUUAGCUAAGAGUCUUACCUUUAAGAGUCACUCCCAAACUACCCUCUGUGAGGCUCCACCCACCUUGGGAAUUAGAAGAGCUCAAUUUUUCCCCAAGUACUACAUAUCUUUG